This 510-nucleotide ribosomal RNA is filed under the name uncultured bacterium. RNAcentral's name for it is "partial 16S ribosomal RNA". It matches the Rfam family "Bacterial small subunit ribosomal RNA", at positions 28 to 507 of the family's 1533-position model. The record is from RNAcentral.
GACGAACGCUGGCGGCGUGCUUAACACAUGCAAGUCGAACGAAGAGCGAUGGAAGCUUGCUUCUAUCAAUCUUAGUGGCGAACGGGUGAGUAACGCGUAAUCAACCUGCCCUUCAGAGGGGGACAACAGUUGGAAACGACUGCUAAUACCGCAUACGAUCUAAUCUCGGCAUCGAGGAUAGAUGAAAGGUGGCCUCUACAUGUAAGCUAUCACUGAAGGAGGGGAUUGCGUCUGAUUAGCUAGUUGGAGGGGUAACGGCCCACCAAGGCGAUGAUCAGUAGUCGGUCUGAGAGGAUGAACGGCCACAUUGGGACUGAGACACGGCCCAGACUCCUACGGGAGGCAGCAGUGGGGAAUCUUCCGCAAUGGACGAAAGUCUGACGGAGCAACGCCGCGUGAGCGAUGACGGCCUUCGGGUUGUAAAGCUCUGUUAAUCGGGACGAAAGGCCUUCUUGCGAAUAGUGAGAAGGAUUGACGGUACCGGAAUAGAAAGCCACGGCUAACUACGUG